GAGCGAAACCUCAGCGUAAUGUUGAGGUCUGCCGGGUGUGGUUGCCCGGUACUGAUGAGCAGCCAAAU
This 68-nucleotide non-coding RNA is filed under the name Pseudoalteromonas luteoviolacea. The record is from RNAcentral. Lineage: Bacteria; Pseudomonadati; Pseudomonadota; Gammaproteobacteria; Alteromonadales; Pseudoalteromonadaceae.